RNAcentral lists this ribosomal RNA (791 nucleotides) under Thaxterogaster melleicarneus. Its description in RNAcentral is "eukaryotic LSU rRNA". The stretch from base 272 to 425 matches the Rfam family "5.8S ribosomal RNA". The record is from RNAcentral. Lineage: Eukaryota; Fungi; Basidiomycota; Agaricomycetes; Agaricales; Cortinariaceae.
GGUUUCCGUAGGUGAACCUGCGGAAGGAUCAUUAUUGAAAUAAACUGACAGGUUGUUGCUGGUUCUCUAGGGAACAUGUGCACGCCUUGUCAUCUUUAUAUCUCCACCUGUGCACAUUUUGUAGACCUGGAUAUCUCUCUGAGUGCUUGCGCUCAGGUUUGAGGAUUGACUUUUUGUCUCUCCUUACAUUUCCAGGCCUAUGUUUCUUCAUAUACCCUAAUGUAUGUUAUAGAAUGUAAUAAAUGGGACUUUUGUGCCUAUAAACCUAUACAACUUUCAGCAACGGAUCUCUUGGCUCUCGCAUCGAUGAAGAACGCAGCGAAAUGCGAUAAGUAAUGUGAAUUGCAGAAUUCAGUGAAUCAUCGAAUCUUUGAACGCACCUUGCGCUCCUUGGUAUUCCGAGGAGCAUGCCUGUUUGAGUGUCAUUAAUAUAAUCAACCUCUUCAGCUUUUGCUUGCUGAGUGUUGGAUGUGGGGGUACUUUUUUUUGCUGGCCUCUCUGAGAGGUCAGCUCCCCUGAAAUGUAUUAGCGGAAUAAUUUGUGGACCGUUCAUUGGUGUGAUAACUAUCUACGCUAUUGACGUGAAGCAAUUCUGCUUCUAAUAGUCCAUUGACUUGGACAAAUUUCAUUAACAUGACCUCAAAUCAGGUAGGACUACCCGCUGAACUUAAGCAUAUCAAUAAGCGGAGGAAAAGAAACUAACAAGGAUUCCCCUAGUAACUGCGAGUGAAGCGGGAAAAGCUCAAAUUUAAAAUCUGACAGUCUCUGGCUGUCCGAGUUGUAAUCUAGAG